RNAcentral lists this signal recognition particle RNA (97 nucleotides) under Campylobacterota bacterium. Its description in RNAcentral is "Epsilonproteobacteria bacterium signal recognition particle sRNA small type". It matches the Rfam family "Bacterial small signal recognition particle RNA". From Rfam's summary of the family: The signal recognition particle (SRP) is a universally conserved ribonucleoprotein involved in the co-translational targeting of proteins to membranes. Lineage: Bacteria; Pseudomonadati; Campylobacterota. The record is from RNAcentral.
UUUUUAGACCCAAACAAUCUUGCUUAAAGAAACUGCCCCAGGAUGGGAACAUAGCAAGGCGGCUUUUUUCAAGGUGUGUUCGGGUAUCUGGAAAGGG